UUGAACGCUGGCGGUAUGCUUAACACAUGCAAGUCGAACGGAAACGAUACUAGCUUGCUAGUAGGCGUCGAGUGGCGGACGGGUGAGUAACGCGUAGGAAUCUGCCUGAUAGUGGGGGAUAGCCCGAAGAAAUUCGGAUUAAUACCGCAUAAUCUAUUCGUAGUAAAGUGGGGGACUUUCGAGCCUCACGCUAUCAGAUGAGCCUGCGUAAGAUUAGCUUGUUGGUAGGGUAAAAGCCUACCAAGGCGACGAUCUUUAGCUGGUCUGAGAGGAUGAUCAGCCACAUCGGGACUGAGACACGGCCCGAACUCCUACGGGAGGCAGCAGUGGGGAAUAUUGGACAAUGGGGGCAACCCUGAUCCAGCAAUACCGCGUGUGUGAAGAAGGCCUGAGGGUUGUAAAGCACUUUCAAUUGUGAAGAAAAGUUAGCGGUUAAUAACCGUUAGCCUUGACGUUAACUUUAGAAGAAGCACCGGCUAACUCCGUGCCAGCAGCCGCGGUAAUACGGAGGGUGCAAGCGUUAAUCGGAAUUACUGGGCGUAAAGCGUGCGUAGGCGGUUUAUUAAGUCAGAUGUGAAAGCCCCGGGCUUAACCUGGGAACUGCAUUUGAAACUGGUCAACUAGAGUAUGGUAGAGGAAAGUGGAAUUUCUGGUGUAGCGGUGAAAUGCGUAGAUAUCAGAAGGAACAUCAAUGGCGAAGGCAGCUUUCUGGACCAAUACUGACGCUGAGGUACGAAAGCGUGGGUAGCAAACAGGAUUAGAUACCCUGGUAGUCCACGCCGUAAACGAUGAUAACUAGCCGUUGGGGGGAUUUACCCUUUAGUGGCGAAGCUAACGCGUUAAGUUAUCCGCCUGGGGAGUACGGCCGCAAGGUUAAAACUCAAAGGAAUUGACGGGGACCCGCACAAGCGGUGGAGCAUGUGGUUUAAUUCGAUGCAACGCGAAGAACCUUACCUGGUCUUGACAUCCUGCGAACUUUCUAGAAAUAGAUUGGUGCCUUCGGGAACGCAGUGACAGGUGCUGCAUGGCUGUCGUCAGCUCGUGUCGUGAGAUGUUGGGUUAAGUCCCGUAACGAGCGCAACCCCUAUCCUUAUUUGCCAGCACAUCAUGGUGGGAACUAUAAGGAGACUGCCGGUGAUAAACCGGAGGAAGGCGGGGACGACGUCAAGUCAUCAUGGCCCUUACGACCAGGGCUACACACGUGCUACAAUGGGAAGGACAAAGAGCCGCGAAGCCGCGAGGUGUAGCUAAUCUCAUAAACCUUUUCGUAGUCCGGAUUGGAGUCUGCAACUCGACUCCAUGAAGUCGGAAUCGCUAGUAAUCGUAGAUCAGAAUGCUACGGUGAAUACGUUCCCGGGUCUUGUACACACCGCCCGUCAA
Molecule: ribosomal RNA, 1380 nt
Filed under: uncultured bacterium
Lineage: Bacteria
Description: bacterial SSU rRNA
Rfam family: Bacterial small subunit ribosomal RNA
Source: RNAcentral